CGCGUAGGCGGGAUGGCAAGUCGGUCGUGAAAUCCUUCGGCUCAACCGAAGAACGUCGGCCGAUACUGCCGUUCUUGAGGGAUGCAGAGGAGACUGGAAUUCCCGGUGUAGCGGUGAAAUGUGUAGAGAUCGGGAGGAACACCGGUGGCGAAGGCGGGUCUCUGGGCAUCUCCUGACGCCGAGGCGCGAAAGCGUGGGGAGCAAACGGGAUUAGAUACCCCGGUAGUCCACGCCAUAAACGAUGACGACUAGGUGUGGGGUGGUUCAGUCCACUCCGUGCCGCAGCUAACGCAUUAAGUCGUCCGCCUGGGGAGUACGGCCGCAAGGUUGAA
This 332-nucleotide ribosomal RNA is filed under the name uncultured bacterium. RNAcentral's name for it is "bacterial SSU rRNA". It matches the Rfam family "Bacterial small subunit ribosomal RNA", at positions 568 to 898 of the family's 1533-position model. The record is from RNAcentral.